AAGCAAGGCCAGGGGGCAGUCGGACUGUACCCACUCAAGUCCCGCCCCUGCAGGUGUUUUACCCCAAGGACAGCUACAGCCAUCCUGUGCAGCUUGACCUCCUGUUCCGGCAGAUCCUGCACGACACGCUCUCCGAGGCCUGCCUUCGCAUCUCUGAGGAUGAGAGGCUCAGGAUGAAGGCUUUGUUUGCCCAGAACCAGCUGGACACACAGAGGCCUCUGGUAACGGAAAGUGUGAAGCGGGCCGUGGUCAGCACUGCACGAGACACCUGGGAGGUCUACUUCUCCCGCAUCUUCCCCGCCACGCGUGGGCACUGGUGUGCAGCUCCUAGCUGUGUCCCACGUGGGCAUCAAACUCCUGAGGAUGGUCAAGGGUGGCCAGGAGGCCGGCGGGCAGCUGCGGGUCCUGCGUGCAUACAGCUUUGCAGAUAUCCUGUUUGUGGCCAUGCCCUCCCAGAACAUGCUGGAGUUCAACUUGGCGAGUGAGAAGGUCAU
This 494-nucleotide small RNA is filed under the name Pongo abelii (Sumatran orangutan). RNAcentral's name for it is "retained intron". Lineage: Eukaryota; Metazoa; Chordata; Mammalia; Primates; Hominidae. The record is from RNAcentral.